CGGACUGGCGGCGUGCCUAAUACAUGCAAGUCGAGCGCGGGAAGCGGACAAUCACCCUUCGGGGUGUGCGUCCGUGGAACGAGCGGCGGAUGGGUGAGUAUCACGUGGGCAACCUGCCUGUAAGAUUGGGAUAACUCGCGGAAACGUGAGCUAAUACCGAAUGAAGUCUUUCACCGCCUGGUGAAAGGAUGAAAGAUGGCUCUUGAGCUAUCACUUACAGAUGGGCCCGCGGCGCAUUAGCUAGUUGGUGGGGUAAAGGCCUACCAAGGCGACGAUGCGUAGCCGACCUGAGAGGGUGAUCGGCCACACUGGGACUGAGACACGGCCCAGACUCCUACGGGAGGCAGCAGUAGGGAAUCUUCCGCAAUGGACGAAAGUCUGACGGAGCAACGCCGCGUGAGUGAAUGAAGGUCUUCGGAUCGUAAAAACUCUGUUGUCAGGGAAGAACAAGUUGUGUUCUAACAGGACAUGACCUUGACGGUACCUGACCAGAAAGCCCCGGCUAACUACGUGCCAGCAGCAGC
This 524-nucleotide ribosomal RNA is filed under the name uncultured bacterium. RNAcentral's name for it is "bacterial SSU rRNA". It matches the Rfam family "Bacterial small subunit ribosomal RNA", at positions 36 to 518 of the family's 1533-position model. The record is from RNAcentral.